RNAcentral lists this ribosomal RNA (465 nucleotides) under Vreelandella stevensii. Its description in RNAcentral is "partial 16S ribosomal RNA". It matches the Rfam family "Bacterial small subunit ribosomal RNA", at positions 338 to 795 of the family's 1533-position model. The record is from RNAcentral. Lineage: Bacteria; Pseudomonadati; Pseudomonadota; Gammaproteobacteria; Oceanospirillales; Halomonadaceae.
CCUACGGGUGGCUGCAGUGGGGAAUAUUGGACAAUGGGGGGAACCCUGAUCCAGCCAUGCCGCGUGUGUGAAGAAGGCCCUCGGGUUGUAAAGCACUUUCAGUGAGGAAGAACGCCUGGUGGUUAAUACCCAUCAGGAAAGACAUCACUCACAGAAGAAGCACCGGCUAACUCCGUGCCAGCAGCCGCGGUAAUACGGAGGGUGCGAGCGUUAAUCGGAAUUACUGGGCGUAAAGCGCGCGUAGGUGGCUUGAUAAGCCGGUUGUGAAAGCCCCGGGCUCAACCUGGGAACGGCAUCCGGAACUGUCCAGCUAGAGUGCAGGAGAGGAAGGUAGAAUUCCCGGUGUAGCGGUGAAAUGCGUAGCGAUCGGGAGGAAUACCAGUGGCGAAGGCGGCCUUCUGGACUGACACUGACACUGAGGUGCGAAAGCGUGGGUAGCAAACAGGAUUAGAUACCCUUGUAGUC